CGGAGUUAUCGUGUGACUGCUCUUCUACUGUUCUUGCAAGUGUUGAGUAAUUUCUGGCACAAGAGUUUGGUACAAGAGUAAACUAGACAGUCUUCAUUUUACUAAAUACAACCCGCACACAAUAGUAUCAGUCUUCACUUUACCAAACAUUUUGAUUACAGGUACUCCUCACUUUGCGAUUUGCCUGCAUAACGAUGGCUUGGACAUCCGACCAGCUCUCUACUGCCGGGAUUUGAGGGAUUUCUCACGUUGGUAAGCUGGCCUAGAUUUGAGCAAUUCCCUGCUCUGGUGCACUUG
Molecule: non-coding RNA, 297 nt
Organism: Pelobates cultripes (western spadefoot toad)
Lineage: Eukaryota; Metazoa; Chordata; Amphibia; Anura; Pelobatidae
Source: the annotation of a GenBank genome assembly